This is a long non-coding RNA of Haliotis rubra (blacklip abalone), 541 nucleotides long. RefSeq lists it as uncharacterized. The record is from RefSeq and is a predicted model, not a curated record. The transcript has 2 exons. NCBI's taxonomy places the organism in Eukaryota, Metazoa, Mollusca, Gastropoda, Lepetellida, Haliotidae.
UUGACAUUUUACUGUCUGUGCACUUAUUGCCGAUCAGGUUUCUGUUGUGGAAUUUGAUCUUUCCCAAAAGUGCUACAUUAAAAUCAUGGAAUCUUGGCAGGAAGACUUUUCAUAGUUUUUUCUGUCUCUCUCUGUUCAUGGACAAAGCCAUUUGUUUUCACUUGUUAUUUUAAAUAAUUAUAAUACCAAGAGCAGAGUAGAAAUACAUGUAUUCUGGUUGUUUGUUUCAUAGAUAAGUGAAAUAGGUUGAGGUCCAGAUCAGUAAUCUGUAGACCAUCGACCGGUAGUUGUACCUUGGAGCACAGUGAUCCUUCUUGAUUGUCAGUGUUGAUUGACAGAUUGUUUUCCAUAACUUACAGUACACAGUUUUAGCCUUUUUGGUUCUUAAGACUAGAUUAUGUUUCAGUCAUUCAAAGUCCCUUGUGUUGUGUGAGAAUGCUAUGCUAUAUGAAUUAUUGAGAUUGUAAAGUCAGUUACAAGAGUAGUGUGUGUUCAAAACAAGACAGUAUAUUUAAAUAUAUCAUUUUGUACAGACUUCUAA